CAGAAAGGUCCCACUCCUCUCGGGAGGCAGGGAUGCCCCUAAUUGCUGACACUGAUAUAGCAGAGCUCGGUCUGAUGCUGCUAGGGAGGGAGGUGACGCUCCACAUUCUUAGCGUUUUCCGCUUCAGCUCAUUAUCCCAAGGACAGGCACUGGUGUCAGUCAGCGGCACAGCUCAGGAAGGCUGUGAGAGACCCAUAGCAAGCGGGGGACAGAAAUGACAGAUUUCAGUUCCCACCUCUCAGGACCAGGGAUAGCAGCAAAGCUCGCAGAUUCACACCUCUCCAUAGCUUGUGCCUUUGGGCACCACAGUGGCGGACUGGACAAAUCUGGAACACAUGCAGCUCUCAAGUCAGCCAAUGCGCGAACUAUAGCAGGCUACCCACCAGCCAGAGAUUUCAGCACUGCGCUCAUGGACAGUUCCGUGAGCAGGGACAAUUCUGUGGGCGUGGCUUGUUUCCGCUACCCCCCUGCUACUUUCAGACUUUACAUUCUGUUCCAGUGCCCACUGCAGCGUCAUAGAAUGUCCUCCAUCCUGGCCCCAGGCUCAGCUUGCUACCUGGAGGAUCUGUCUCACCGUCUGUGCUACCUGGGCCACUCCAGCCUGGUCUGCUCCAGGUAUGCU
Molecule: long non-coding RNA, 622 nt
Filed under: Mus spretus (western wild mouse)
Lineage: Eukaryota; Metazoa; Chordata; Mammalia; Rodentia; Muridae
Description: predicted gene 13115 (ENSMSPG00010026006.1)
Source: RNAcentral